GGGAGUAGCUCAGUUGGAUAGAGCAACGGUUUUCUAAACCGUAGGUCCCGGGUUCGAGUCCCGGCUC
This 67-nucleotide transfer RNA is filed under the name marine eukaryotic metagenome. It matches the Rfam family "tRNA", at positions 5 to 66 of the family's 71-position model. Rfam says of the family: Transfer RNA (tRNA) molecules are approximately 80 nucleotides in length. Their secondary structure includes four short double-helical elements and three loops (D, anti-codon, and T loops). The record is from RNAcentral.